UACGAAUGGGGCGAGCGUUGUUCGGAAUCACUGGGCGUAAAGCGUACGCAGGCGGCCAUGCAAGUCAGAAGUGAAAGCCCUGGGCUUAACCCGGGAAUUGCUUUUGAAACUGCACGGCUAGAAUCCCGGAGAGGUUAGGAGAAUUCCGAGUGUAGAGGUGAAAUUCGCAGAUAUUCGGAGGAAUACCAGUGGCGUAGGCGCCUAACUGGACGGGUAUUGACGCUCAGGUACGAAAGCGUGGGGAUCAAACAGG
Molecule: unclassified non-coding RNA, 253 nt
Filed under: uncultured Alphaproteobacteria bacterium
Lineage: Bacteria; Pseudomonadati; Pseudomonadota; Alphaproteobacteria
Description: contains 16S-23S intergenic spacer region
Rfam family: Bacterial small subunit ribosomal RNA
Source: RNAcentral